RNAcentral lists this ribosomal RNA (253 nucleotides) under uncultured bacterium. RNAcentral's name for it is "partial 16S ribosomal RNA". It matches the Rfam family "Bacterial small subunit ribosomal RNA", at positions 524 to 776 of the family's 1533-position model. The record is from RNAcentral.
UACGUAGGGGGCGAGCGUUAUCCGGAUUUACUGGGCGUAAAGCGCGUUAAGGCGGUUGGCAAAGUUGGUGGUGAAAUCGCAGGGCUUAACCCUGCAAUUGCCUCCAAUACUGGUCGACUAGAGUGUGAGAGAGGAAGGUGGAAUUCCCGGUGUAGUAGUGAAAUGCGUAGAUAUCGGGAGGAACACCAGUGGCGAAGGCGGCCUUCUGGCUCACAACUGACGCUGUAGCGCGAAAGCGUGGGGAGCGAACGGG